RNAcentral lists this ribosomal RNA (497 nucleotides) under uncultured bacterium. RNAcentral's name for it is "partial 16S ribosomal RNA". It matches the Rfam family "Bacterial small subunit ribosomal RNA", at positions 28 to 507 of the family's 1533-position model. The record is from RNAcentral.
GAUGAACGCUGGCGGCGUGCCUAAUACAUGCAAGUCGAGCGAACGGACGAGAAGCUUGCUUCUCUGAUGUUAGCGGCGGACGGGUGAGUAACACGUGGAUAACCUACCUAUAAGACUGGGAUAACUUCGGGAAACCGGAGCUAAUACCGGAUGAUAUUUUGAACCGCAUGGUUCAAAAGUGAAAGACGGUCUUGCUGUCACUUAUAGAUGGAUCCGCGCUGCAUUAGCUAGUUGGUAAGGUAAUGGCUUACCAAGGCAACGAUGCAUAGCCGACCUGAGAGGGUGAUCGGCCACACUGGAACUGAGACACGGUCCAGACUCCUACGGGAGGCAGCAGUAGGGAAUCUUCCGCAAAGGGCGAAAGCCUGACGGAGCAACGCCGCGUGAGUGAUGAAGGUCUUCGGAUCGUAAAACUCUGUUAUUAGGGAAGAACAUAUGUGUAAGUAACUGUGCACAUCUUGACGGUACCUAAUCAGAAAGCCGCGGCUAACUACGUG